Molecule: ribosomal RNA, 497 nt
Filed under: uncultured bacterium
Lineage: Bacteria
Description: partial 16S ribosomal RNA
Rfam family: Bacterial small subunit ribosomal RNA
Source: RNAcentral
GAUGAACGCUGGCGGCGUGCCUAAUACAUGCAAGUCGAGCGAACAGACGAGGAGCUUGCUCCUCUGACGUUAGCGGCGGACGGGUGAGUAACACGUGGAUAACCUACCUAUAAGACUGGGAUAACUUCGGGAAACCGGAGCUAAUACCGGAUAAUAUAUUGAACCGCAUGGUUCAAUAGUGAAAGACGGUUUUGCUGUCACUUAUAGAUGGAUCCGCGCCGCAUUAGCUAGUUGGUAAGGUAACGGCUUACCAAGGCAACGAUGCGUAGCCGACCUGCGAGCGUGAUCGGCCACACUGGAACUGAGACACGGCCCAGACUCCUACGGGAGGCAGCAGUAGGGAAUCUUCCGCAAUGGGCGAAAGCUUGACGGAGCAACGCCGCGUGAGUGAUGAAGGUCUUCGGAUCGUAAAACUCUGUUAUUAGCGAAGAACAAAUGUGUAAGUAACUAUGCACGUCUUGACGGUACCUAAUCAGAAAGCCACGGCUAACUACGUG